Molecule: long non-coding RNA, 6429 nt
Organism: Apis cerana (Asiatic honeybee)
Lineage: Eukaryota; Metazoa; Arthropoda; Insecta; Hymenoptera; Apidae
Source: RefSeq, a predicted model, not a curated record
UCAAUGGUUGCAAACAAGUAGACUACAAAUUCGUUGAUGUAGAAAAAAACAAGAAUUUCAGAACUUAUAUCGUUCACACAAAUUAUAACACUCACAUAAUUAAAAAUUUAAGAUAUAUUUAAAGAUUAAUUGCACUAAUUAACAACUAAAUAUUAAUCCACAAAAAGCACGGAUUUCUCGAUAGGCGUGACUCAGCCAUCUUGUUCUACUAACUUCGAAAUCAAAAUAGUAUUAAAUUUCCAAAUAUAUAUAAUUAUUAAUUGAUUUGAAUUUUACUUAUAAACUAUUAAAUAUUUAUAAAAUAAAAAUAAUUAUUAACUUUAAACCAAUUAUUUUAAUUUAUUAAUUGAAUAUUUUAAUAUCGUUAUGUAAUUAAGUAUUGAAUAUGACAUACAUUUACAUGACGUGUACAUGGAAAUAGAAUACGUUCGUCAAAAAAUUUCAAGACAUAUCUAUGUUGUAUAAAAAUAAUACGCAAUAAUAUUUACAAAACGAAAUAGGUGCAUAUUUUAAUUUUAAAAUUCUAAUUAAAAAUUAUAAGGAAAAAUUAAAAUUAAAAAACGAUAAAUCUUAACUUUUAAAUAUAUAGUAAUUUCAUUUAGCAUCUGUUUUGACAAACGAAUAUCAAGAAGCAAACGAAGCAUCUGUUCAUAACCUGUGUUGUUAUUCAUAAUUAUUAUUUUUUUUUUAUUUAAGCUUAUUUAAAAUAUUAUUUAUAUAUAUAUUAUUAUAUUUAUCAUUAUUUUUCUAUAGUUUCGUAAUCUUGUUCUAUUUUAUCCCGGUUUUAUUCUACUUGAAAACAUGAUUGAAAUCUCGUCAAAUAUCAAGGAGAAAAAAUUUCAUCCAUUCUCGAAACAAAUACGAUCUUUGUCAAAUAUCAUUCCGAAGGAUCGCAAACGAAAAAGGAGAAACAUAGGAUAACCAGAAGCAGGGGUGAUCGAUUAACUUGGGCUCGCUACCAGUUAGUCAGUCAAUCAUUAGGUAAUGAGGCCGUGUUUGGAAGCCAGCGUAACUGGACGUCGAUUGUCCGUAUUAAACGUAUUGCCGUCCGCAUAGAAUAGGGCUGCCGAUCUUAUCGUCACGGUUUCAUGUAAUGCUAAUGGACGCGUGGUAGCCCAAUAUGUACUUUAAACGAAAAGGUUAAUAUGAUAGCGAGAUAAUGCGCGGACAUUAAGGAGCCGGACGAGGAACGGCGGACAAAUUAUGAAGAGAACCGUCUCGAAGAAACGAGAUCUCGUUUGCUGAACCCUUCAAGUGGAAUUGGAAUUUUUUCUCCCCAUUAAAAAUAUGAAGUUGACAAGUUUUUCAACUUCGCGAGGACGAUAGCGAAGCUGCGGAAUGAAAUAUUUAUUGAAACGAAAUAUUGAAGGUUACCUCACGGCCAAAUCCAAAUUUCUUCAAUUUCCCAUUUGUUAUUUAAAUUGGUCAAGAAACGAGAUGGAGUAUUUCGAGUAGCGUGGCAUCGAAGUUGGGGAAAAAGGAAGCGGACAGGGGCGGUUAGCCGGUCCGACAAAGGACGAGGAUCCCUGAGGAGGCACGGCACGAGUGGGUCAGUGACGUCGGGCACGGGACAGCUUGCAUAUCGAGGGAUCAAGGAGGGGAGCAGGGAGACACCGGGCCCUCCUCGAAUGAUCUUGACUCGAGGGAGAGAGAGCGAGUGGAUCGAGGCGUUGGCGCGAGCGAGAGACGCGGCUGGGCCGCGGGCGAGUUGUAUAAUAUGAACGCGGCGGGCCGCGGCGCAGUUUCGGCAGGCUAUAAUCAAUUCUGAUUGCAGUCCAGCAUCGCAGCGCGAUCCACCGGCCCGAUAGCUGAGAAAAAAGUUCGCGCUUCCAACUACCGGGCUGCCCAACGUACCAACCACUCCGAGAGGAACGAACCGGCGGGGUGUAACGGCGGUUAGGGUGGAGAGAGUGGAAAAGGGAAAUUGGUCGGAGAGAUGGAGCGGAGGGUGUGUGAAAGAAAAAGAAGAGAAAGGAGGAAGGAUAUUGGAGGAGGAGAUUGGGAAAGGGUAAAAAGAGAUAGGGGAUGAGGUGUGAAGAAGUUGGUAAAAUGGAAAGAAGUAGUGGAUUGAGAGAAGGGUACAUAGAAUAGAAAUGAAAUCAAAAAUUUGGAGAAAAGAAAGGAUGUCCGCCUCUCAAGCUUAAAUAUCGGUACAUAUCAUUCGACUCCUGGCGAAACGUCGCUUCGGGAUAUAAUUUCUGAACGGACAUCUUUCAUACUCGGAAGCCUCGCAUUAAAACAUAUCCCAAAAUGUGCACGCCUGCUCCAAAAGUAUAGAUUCUCGAAAGAGAGAUGGAACAGGAGGAAGAUGGCAAGAGAGACGAAGCAUCGACUCGAUAAAAACGCAACCGAGUUAUUUUAUUUAUCGGUUGGUCGGCAGCCAGCCUGGCUACGCCUUCGAAGUCUCGCGAGCUAUCGUUCGACACACGCGGGAAGGAAAGAGGAGGAGGCGAGGAGAAGUCCGAGGUCCAGGCGAGGCCGGGUCCGAGUCUGUUCGGUUCUCCUCCGCCGUGCAAUGGUUCGGGGAACGGCGGAAGAAUGCAUCCAUCGGUUGUGCAUCGGUGCAACAGCAACAACGGCACAAGAGACGCGCGCUUCUUACGAGACAACCCCUUUUUUCCUCGUCCCUUCUUCCUUUCUCUCGCGCUCCAGACUACGCUCGUUCGUCCGCUCUUUUUCCACGCUACGAUUCUUUUUCUCUUUCUCUGGACGGUGUGUCGCGCGAGCGUCCGGCCCCAUUAGCAGUUGGACGAGCCAUCAUUCAAUAACGCUCUCAAUGCCUGUGCGACCGUGUCUCUCCCGCGCGCACACUGUCCAUGUGUGUCAUCGUGCGACUGAUAAUCGUGCACCAGUUUCUUUCAACUGGCUGCGACAGUAUGCAGCGACGAUUGAAAAUUAGAAAUCGUUGAUGCGUUUGAUAGCAUACGUGGGACGUGGCAAAAUUUUUUAACCGAAAAAUGUAUUUUUAAUCCUUUGCGAGAUAAUAAGAGAUGAGGAAUUCGAAACUUAGAAAAUAAUUAUUCUUUCGUUAUCUUUCGUUAUUCUUAUCAUAUAUCAUCUUAUUAUUAUAUUUUCUAUCAUAUUAUUUUUAAUUUCGGUUAACUCUGUAACUCUAUGUAACUAAUAUGUUAUUUCAAAAAUUUUAGGUAAUCAUAAAAAGGACAAUUAAAAAGUAACAUAGUACAGACUUUGAGGAUCGUAAAACGUAUCAUCGCUUCGUGAAACGAACAUUAAUUAGCGGCACCUUACCGUUAAGUUUCUUAUACGUAUCAAGAAAGAACUUCAAGCUCGAUGAUGCAUCGCAAAGAUAUUAAACCAAACCAUCUCUGGUUUGUCCGUCAAUCUCCAGACAAACUGUCAGAAGACCCGUAUAUACACACUGAAGAUCUGCAAUUUAAGUCGGCCAGACUCGACUGACAAUACUAAGGCGCGAUUGACGUUGGAAUUAUAUACGUCGGAUUACAAUUUACAUUUCCUAUCUUAAUUUGCAUUUAAUAAUUAAACACAUAAUACGUUCGUGAGAUAUGUUCUUCGAGUAUAAUCGAUUAGAUGAUAAAAUUAAAAUAAUUUUAAUCACGAGCGAUUAAUAAUUAUUUCUAUUUGUUAUUUUCAGUUUUUCUUUAAUAAUUCCUACAUUUUAUAUUGAAAAGAUAUUUAUAAUUAUUAUAAAAUAUAUUUAUAACUAUUUUACCAUAUAGUACAGGAGUUUUUUUUUUUAAAUUGAUAACUUUAUUAAUUUAAUAAAUAUCGUUGUUCAUAUAAGAUGCAAAGGACGAACAGAGCGAUUAAUUUUCAUUCGAACAAAGCGACGAUGGUUUUGCGGUCAUUCCCUCUUAUUGCGGAUUCAAUAUCACGCGUGCACACGCGUGAUUUAUAAUACUGAUUAAAUCCUUCGUAUUUAUCAUUUUGCCACUGUCGGCACGUGUGUAACCGGUUCUCGCUCGCGUAGCUUUUCGACAAAUUUCGUGAAAACAGCUAACGAACGAUUUCGCGGAAUCACGAUAUGACAAUUAAGCGUUUUAUUAAAUAAAAUUUAUAUCGGUAAUACCGGUAAGAAAAUUUUAUAAUUUUUGUUAAAAAUAUUUAAAAGAUCUUUAAAAUUAUUUAUAUAAUAUAUCCAUGUUGAUAUUAAAUAUUUAACAUUUUCCAAGAAUGCUUAUCUCGAAUAAUAUCUUUUCAAUUACUCGUUAAAACAAUUACGAUAAUAUAGAACGAGACACGAGUCAUGGUUGUUUUUCUCGUUGCUUAAUCGAAUUUAUUUAAAAUGUACAGCUUACAGCCGCGGCACAUUUCGACAUCCGGCCACGCUUCUGAGUAACAUCAUUAUCGAUAAGAUCAAAGAAACCCGGUCUACUGGAGUUUUCAGUGGAAAGUAACCUGUCAAGUCGGUCAGUAGCGCUACAUGUUUCUACGACAAUGAAGUGUCGGACGAGUGUAACUUUAGAUGUACUCUUAAAUCCUCGAGAACGUAGAAAAGAGGCAAGUAAGAGCUUUAAUAUCGAUAAUUUUCGAUCAAACACGCGUAUAAAUUUCAUUGAAUUGUAUAAUUUUAAAAUAAAUAGAAGAAGUAUUCUACGAUAGGCCAUUGCGUGUAUCCUCUUAAAUUUUGUAAAGAAGAAUUUUUACAUUGUGCUAGAUUAUUAAAGAUUACACCACGGUCUUAAAGGGCUCUACAUUAGGAUAUUACAAUUAACUUUAACGAACUUCAUCAUAUCUUGACCUACUUACAUCUUACCACCAGCACAACUAGAACGAUGAUUAACGAUCUCGAAUGGACUAUAAUAAUACUCCUUCUGAUACUUAAUCGCGCUAUUUCUCACUCGCAACAUGUUAAAUAACCUGAAGUCUAAACGAGGUGUCUACCUAAAGUACAGUCUGUUAGCGUAGUUACUAAUUCUACUGAUUGCGUUCACUUUCAAUUAACGUGCGUAACUUAUAUGAUAAUUCAUUUAUUCGAACGCUGGAAAGAAAAGGAAAAAAUUCAGGUAUUUAAGUUUUCAAAUAUUUAAAACUUAAAUAUUUAAAUGUGGGAAUAUUCGAAGAUUUAAACACGCAAACAUUCGAACAUUUCAAUAUUCAAACAUUCCAAGUGCUUUCUAAAUUUUUAGACAUUUUUAAAAAAAUUUGAAAUACUCCAAGUUCUCAACGAUCUCUAUCGAAAUUUUCCAAAUUGCAAAAUUUUUCCAAAUUCCUCGUCUCGACGAUCGAAACGAUGAAUCAGCGUAACGGGAUUUCUAUCCAAUUCAAAUUUUCAGAUAUACUUCGGAUGAUUCCAAUCAUUGGCCAACUGUGCUCCAAACAGUGAUACUGUACGCGUGCGUACACGAGACACGAUAAAUCCAAUUAGGACGAGCACGAGCAGCAACGAUUAUCGGAACUGUUUAAUCUAAUGCAAAUACCGGACGAUUGCAUCUGUCAAUAAAGGUUCGAGGCCGUCUUGAGUAGCGGCAGCUUCGAGUAUACUGACAGAAGUACUCGAGCGACGACACGGCAACAAGUGGUGCUCGACGCACCGCUAGGUCAACACAUCUCGUCCACCUCUCGUACUCUCGUUCUCGUACGUCUCGUACGAAGCUUCUUUUCACCGAGCAACUUCUGUGACAUUAUACUUGGAGCACCACUUCAAUCUAUCCGUCAAAUAUAGGGCCGAGGAGUACACAACGGAAAAGGCAAAUGUUGUCCGAGUUCUCUGAAGACGCUUUACCUCGAAUCAGCGAUCCGUAUCACGUUUCGAGAGAUUAAACAACAUGAUAGUUGCAUCGAUGAAAAAAAAAGGAGAAACAUGGUGGUCAGCAGAGAACGGAGGAGAAAGGAGCCACGCUCGUUAUUUCGAGCGCCUGGGCUGCUGGAUAAUUGAUAGCGGAAUGCUAAUAACUUGGACGAGCCAUGGAUUAUAAUAAGUUUCUUGCGUAUAUCGCUUCUUGCCUUCGUUCGCUGUUGUUAUAAACGUGUCACAGACGAUCAGUUUUGUCAGUUUAUCACACCGAUCUUAAUUAAUUGGUUCAGGAAAUCUAGGUAAAUGAAAAUAAAUAAAAAGACAAUUUUUCGUGACAUAGUUGAUAUGCAUUAAGAUUCUUGACAUUGAAUUAUAUGAUUUAAAGUUUAUUUAAUUUAGAAAACAGCUAUUGUAAUACUUGUCACUGAGUCGUUUCAGAAUAAAGCUGUUUUGGAAAUUCUGCAGAUUAAAUUUAGAAUUGCAAAUUUAGAAUUUAGAUUUUAUUUCGAAAUUGUUUGAAAAGGAAGUUUAAAGUUUAUGAAACAUUUUAAAGAUAAUCCUGGAGGACGGCUAUUUUCAGAGUUAUUCAAUUUAUAUUGAUAGGUAUAUAGCGCGUAUAUAGGUAUAUAUUAUACGUUCAUAUUAUAGAGAUUCGAUGGAGAGAUAAGACAAAAGAGAAUUAGACACAAAUAAAUAAUUUCUCUAUAAUUAAA